RNAcentral lists this unclassified non-coding RNA (281 nucleotides) under Hevea brasiliensis (rubber tree). Lineage: Eukaryota; Viridiplantae; Streptophyta; Magnoliopsida; Malpighiales; Euphorbiaceae. The record is from RNAcentral.
GGGUGGAGAAGAUUUAAUUUGAGAGAUCCAAUGGCAAAAGAAAAUAAUUAAAAAAAAAAAAAUUCCAAGAAAAUAAGAAUAACUGAAUUUGACAAGAGAACUUAAUUUCAUUUCUAUACAGAGCCUGCUCUACUAGAUCCGCCCCUCUGCACUCCGCAUUUCCUCCCUGAGAAAUGCGAACCUGAAGAUCUAUCCAUCUGUUACCUUUAGAGAGAGAAAGAUACCAAUUUUAGAGAGAGACAGAUAUGGGGUGUACGUUUUCUGGGCUGAAUGCGCUGUAC